AAGUUUGGAAGAGCUUGGAAGUGCAUCCGGCUGGACAAGUUUUCAUGCUGAUAUGUUUGGAAAACUCGCCUAGCUGGAUGCCUUUUCAAGCUCUUUCUCCGAAACUG
This 107-nucleotide microRNA precursor is filed under the name Gossypium raimondii (Peruvian cotton). RNAcentral describes it as "miR8733 stem-loop (gra-MIR8733)". Lineage: Eukaryota; Viridiplantae; Streptophyta; Magnoliopsida; Malvales; Malvaceae. The record is from miRBase by way of RNAcentral.